RNAcentral lists this ribosomal RNA (728 nucleotides) under uncultured Staphylococcus sp. RNAcentral's name for it is "bacterial SSU rRNA". It matches the Rfam family "Bacterial small subunit ribosomal RNA", at positions 68 to 779 of the family's 1533-position model. The record is from RNAcentral. Lineage: Bacteria; Bacillati; Bacillota; Bacilli; Caryophanales; Staphylococcaceae.
AACAGACGAGGAGCUUGCUCCUCUGACGUUAGCGGCGGACGGGUGAGUAACACGUGGAUAACCUACCUAUAAGACUGGGAUAACUUCGGGAAACCGGAGCUAAUACCGGAUAAUAUAUUGAACCGCAUGGUUCAAUAGUGAAAGACGGUUUUGCUGUCACUUAUAGAUGGAUCCGCGCCGCAUUAGCUAGUUGGUAAGGUAACGGCUUACCAAGGCAACGAUGCGUAGCCGACCUGAGAGGGUGAUCGGCCACACUGGAACUGAGACACGGUCCAGACUCCUACGGGAGGCAGCAGUAGGGAAUCUUCCGCAAUGGGCGAAAGCCUGACGGAGCAACGCCGCGUGAGUGAUGAAGGUCUUCGGAUCGUAAAACUCUGUUAUUAGGGAAGAACAAAUGUGUAAGUAACUAUGCACGUCUUGACGGUACCUAAUCAGAAAGCCACGGCUAACUACGUGCCAGCAGCCGCGGUAAUACGUAGGUGGCAAGCGUUAUCCGGAAUUAUUGGGCGUAAAGCGCGCGUAGGCGGUUUUUUAAGUCUGAUGUGAAAGCCCACGGCUCAACCGUGGAGGGUCAUUGGAAACUGGAAAACUUGAGUGCAGAAGAGGAAAGUGGAAUUCCAUGUGUAGCGGUGAAAUGCGCAGAGAUAUGGAGGAACACCAGUGGCGAAGGCGACUUUCUGGUCUGUAACUGACGCUGAUGUGCGAAAGCGUGGGGAUCAAACAGGAUU